RNAcentral lists this ribosomal RNA (1235 nucleotides) under metagenome. RNAcentral describes it as "bacterial LSU rRNA". It matches the Rfam family "Bacterial large subunit ribosomal RNA", at positions 1564 to 2808 of the family's 2925-position model. The record is from RNAcentral.
UGAGUACGAGAUGCUACGGCAUCGAAGCAGUCUAUGUCAUACUUCCAAGAAAAGCUUGCACUGUCAGAAACAGAUAAUGCCUGUACCAUAACCGACACAGGUGGGUAGGUAGAGUAUACUAAGGGGCGCGAGAUAACUCUCUCUAAGGAACUCGGCAAAAUGACUCCGUAACCUCGGGAGAAGGAGUGCCUUAUUUUUAAGGUUGCAAUAACAAGAUCCAAGCAACUGUUUACCAAAAACACAGGUCUCCGCUAAGUCGUAAGACGAUGUACGGGGGCUGACGCCUGCCCAGUGCCAGAAGGUUAAAGAAGUCGGUUAGCAUUCGCGAAGCUGGUAACUGAAGCCCUGGUGAACGGCGGCCGUAACAAUAACGGUCCUAAGGUAGCGAAAUUCCUUGUCGGGUAAGUUCCGACCCGCACGAAAGGCGUAAUGAUUUGGAUACUGUCUCGGAGAGGGGCUCGGUGAAAUAGACUUGUCUGUGAAGAUGCGGACUACCUGCACCUGGACAGAAAGACCCUAUGAAGCUUUACUGUAACUUGAAAUUGAAAUUGGACUUUAUUUGCGCAGUAUAGGUGGGAGGCGUUGAAAAUAUUCUUGCGGGAAUAUUGGAGCCAUCAGUGAGAUACCACUCUUGUAAUGUUAGAUUUCUAACUUUAUAUCAUUAUCUGGUUAAAGAACAGUUUCAGGCGGGCAGUUUGACUGGGGCGGUCGCCUCCCAAAUGGUAACGCAGGCGCACAAAGGUUUCCUCUGAACGGGUAGAAAUCGUAUCUAGAGUGUAAAGGCAUAAGGAAGCUUGACUGUGAGACCUACAAGUCGAGCAGGGACGAAAGUCGGUCUUAGUGAUCUGACGGUGCUGAGUGGAAAGGCCGUCACUCAACGGAUAAAAGUUACUCUAAGGAUAACAGGCUGAUCUCCCCCAAGAGUUCACAUCGACGGGGAUGUUUGGCACCUCGAUGUCGGCUCAUCGCAUCCUGGGGCGGUAGUACGUCCCAAGGGUUGGGCUGUUCGCCCAUGAAAGCGGUACGCGAGCUGGGUUCAGAACGUCGUGAGACAGUUCGGUCCAUAUCCGGUGUAGGCGUUAGAAUAUUGAGAGGAGCCUUCUUUAGUACGAGAGGACCGAGAAGGACAUACCUCUGGUGUACCAGUUAUCGUGCCAACGGUAAACGCUGGGUAGCUAUGUAUGGAGUGGAUAACCGCUGAAAGCAUCUAAGUGGGAAGCCCACCUCAAGAUAAG